RNAcentral lists this long non-coding RNA (874 nucleotides) under Coffea arabica (coffee). Its description in RNAcentral is "long non-coding RNA (CARA_LNC000632)". The record is from RNAcentral. Lineage: Eukaryota; Viridiplantae; Streptophyta; Magnoliopsida; Gentianales; Rubiaceae.
AAUAAGUGGUUAUGUCAAAAAAAAUUGGAAGGUGAUUAACACAAGCUUGAUUAACCUUCUGGUUUUUAUUACAUAGUUUUCACAUUCCUCACAAGUUAGACAACCCUGAUUUUUAUCUGCUUUCUACUGUUUUUAUGAGUCAUAUUGAACAUUUGAAUAAUUGUGUUUGUAAAAAUUGCAUCUGAGGGAGGAGAAUGGAACCUCAUUUAAGUUGCCAAGAUGCCCUAUUCUGAAAACCUUUCCAGCAACUUUGUUCAGCCCCAGACCCAAGCUUAAGUUGUAUCUCUUCCAGGCCCUUCUAACAAUUUCUGAACUGUCAAUGUUAGGAGGAACAAGCACAGCAGUGACUGUAUCACUGUACCAUUCCUCCUUUUGGGUGCAAUUUUUCAAGCCCCAUGCUUCCAUAGCAAGUCUGCGUUCAGUGCAAUAGUGCAUGCAAGUUUGAUAUAUAUGUCAGUAGAUUGACAUUAACCGACCAUUGUGAUGCAACAUGAGAGUAGUACCCUAAUUGUGGAAAGAUUUUAUAAUUUUUUAGAAACAAGAACCAAAUCAAAUCGCUUCCAUAGGCAAUCAAGCUAUUUCAGUUUAACAAAAUUCAAGUGCUUCAACAUUUCUAUCUAAGCCAAUACCUUGUUGCUUUGGCUAAGCGAGCAUGCCUGGCAAAUACAUUCUCAAGUCCUUCCUCAAAUAUGAGAUCCAAAGCUGCUCUUAGACCAUAUAGAAGAUGAAUGGAUGGAGUGUAUGGCCAAUAUGUUCCCAACUUAUAGAACUUCAGGUAGUCCUUCCAGUCAAAGAAGACUCUAACAGAUUUUGCUGUUUUGGAAGCCUCAAGAGCCUUGGGGCUUGCACAAACGAUUCCUAUGCCAGUUGGGAG